Molecule: long non-coding RNA, 1684 nt
Organism: Hypanus sabinus (Atlantic stingray)
Lineage: Eukaryota; Metazoa; Chordata; Chondrichthyes; Myliobatiformes; Dasyatidae
Exons: 3
Source: RefSeq, a predicted model, not a curated record
AACUCAUCAAAAAGGCUGAAUCCAUGCUUUGCCACAACCCGGACUCUUUUGAGUUAGUGGUGGAGUGAGGUCACUAAACAAACUGUCAUCGAUUAUGAACAAUCUGCCACAUCCUCUCCAUGACCUACUGAAUAGGCAGCAAAGCACCCGACCCCUUUCGAACAGACUCACUCAGCUCUGCUCUCACCAGGGUCAUAACAGAAAAUCUUUCUUACCAAAUGCAACAGUUAAUCUUUCUGUGACAGGCGAACACACAUCAUAGUUCAAUCGUCUCUGCUUUAUUAUCUCAUACAUUAUUAUUGCACAUUGGUACAGUAUUAUUGUCUAUAUUAUUAUGCUCUAUAUUUUAGUAAAGUCCGCACACUGUUAAAGUCUGUUUUUAGAUGUUGCUGCUGAAACGAAUGAAUUUCCCAUUCGAGAUCAAUAGAAUAUUUAUCGUUAUUAUGAUUAUUCUUAUCAUCCAGCCCUUUAUCUCUCUCACCAAUCAACUUUCCAUCUCUUUACUUCACUCCUCCCCCUCUCCUGGUUUACCCCAUCACCUCACCUCCGCCAUAUUCGUACUCUAUCCCUUCCUUUCCAGUCCUGAAGAAGGAACUUCGUCCGAAACGCCGACUAUUCACUCCUCUCCAUGGUUGCUGCCUGUCCCCCUGAGUUCCUCCAGCAUUUUCCGUAUGUUGCCUUUGAUUCUCACAUCUGCAGAUUUUCUCCCGUUUGCUCAGAUGCGCAUGCGCAGAGGUCUCAGGUCAUCCCGAAUAUCACGCAUGCGCUUAACAGACGAGAGGCUCCCAAGUUUCGGCCACAGACAGCAACAUACAGUCGGCCCUCCUUAUCCACAAGGGAUUGGUUCCAGGGCCCCUCGCGGAUACCAAAAUUUGUGGAUGCUCAAGUCCCUUAUUCAACCUGUCUCAGUGUGGUGGACAUUAGGACCCAGCAGCGGAGCUCUGUAUACGCAGUGUUUCAGUUCAUGAAAAUAAUCAUGAUUGAAAAUAAAGUGGAAAUAAUAAAGUGAUCGGAAAGAGGUGAAACGCCAUCAGUCAUUGGAAAACCAUUAGGCUACAAUCAGUCAACAAUCGGAACAAUUUUAAAGGAUAGCAUGAGAAAGGCUCUGCCUCGAUGAAAACUACAAUUAUUACUAAGCAACACAGUGUACCAUCGUCCUGGAGGAACGUUGCUUCGUUUUUACUGUGUACUGUACCAGCAAUUUAUGGUCGAAAAGCGACUUGACUUGAUAGAACUGAGAAGAUUCAAACAGCAGGAGGGUCAGAUAAAACAAUUAAAAUACUCAACGGGACAACACAGACCUCUGGUUCACAGCAAGCAGAAACGCUUACAACACACAUGCUCUUCCUUGUUGAGCUGAAGCUAUUCGGUACAUAAACAAUAUUUUACCAACGCAAUCCAGUGUCUUCAUUAAGAACAAACAGCGAUAAGAGGCCUGUACGAGGAAGAAACGGGGGAAAAAAAAGCCCAAGAAGUUUAACGCGUACGGACAAUGAAUUCUACUCUUCAUUUGUUGUUUAAUCUCCUUGAGGGGAGGUGCACUGUUCCCGGAGGCACUGCAAUACUGGGUCGAUACGCAGAACGGAUGGAGCAAGCCCAUAUUCAAUCUCCCUGUUCCAAGUAUCAAUUUAAUAUAUGGUCCCUAGAUAAGGGACGUAUCAGAUACUAAACUGAUAGCAGAUUU